GACGAACGCUGGCGGCGUGCUUAACACAUGCAAGUCGAACGGACAGGCCCUGCUUUUGUUGGGUGCUCGUGUGGCGAACGGGUGAGUAACACGUGAGUAACCUGCCCUUGACUUUCGGAUAACUUCAGGAAACUGGGGCUAAUACCGGAUAGGAGCUCCUGCUGCAUGGUGGGGGUUGGAAAGUUUCGGCGGUUGGGGCUGGACUCGCGGCUUAUCCGCUUGUUUGUGGGGUAGUGGUUUACCAAGGCUUCGACGGGUAGCCGGCCUGAGAGGGUGACCGGCCACAUUGGGACUGAGAUACGGACCAGAAGGCAACGGGAGGCAGCAGUGGGGAAUAUUGCACAAUGGGCGGAAGCGUGAUGCAGAAGCGCCGCGUGCGGGAUGACGGGCUUCGGGUGGAAAACAGCUUUGGACUGUGACGAAGCGUGAGUGACGGUAAUGGGUAAAGAAGCACCGGCUAACUACGUG
Molecule: ribosomal RNA, 468 nt
Filed under: uncultured bacterium
Lineage: Bacteria
Description: partial 16S ribosomal RNA
Rfam family: Bacterial small subunit ribosomal RNA
Source: RNAcentral